ACACACGCGCGUUCUCCGCGUGCAUGUUUUUUAAUCCCACCCAGAAAUGACAAACAAGCUCCCUGAUUGGCCAGUUGCCGGCCAGUUGGACUUGAGCGGUCGCCAUGGUGGUAUCGGGGACUCGGCCGGCAUCGUUAGGUGGUGAAUUAUGUGUUUCGUUGUGCUAGAUAUUGCCAAUUUGCUUUGUUAUUUGAUAAAUAACGUUGGCUCAUUCUUUGGUGACCUUGCAUACUAAUACGACGAUAUUUUGAUACCGAUUAUUAUGCAUCAAACAUCAUGAGACAAAUGUGGCGAUUUCCACACCCUUUUGCAGUGCCCCCUCCCCUUGUGUAGUGAGUUAACAGGCUUGUAAGAACCAAGUGAACCAUUUUUUAGUUAAGUGGUCAUGAUCGUCCCUACAUCUAAUGGAUAAUAGUCUUGCGCAAACUUAUGAAGUACUGGAGGAAGCAGAAGUUACGAUUUUGGAGUACGCAAACUUGAUAUUAAAAAAUCUCAGGUAUUUUGGCUAUAUACCUAAAGUGAGAAGAAAAGUUCAAUUGAUCAUUUUUUAUUACAAUUGCAAUAAUGAUAAUAUCAUGAUAAUUGUACUGUCAGGUAUUGAUAAUAGUCAUGUCACGUCAUGCCACUAACCAGGCACACAGACACAACACAUUUUCAUCUUUAUGUAUCUAGGCAUAAGGUAUUACAGGCAUGGUUUUGCACACCUCUCAUGUGCGAGUGGGCAUGGCCUCCUUCACAGUUAAGUUUUGGCUGAUUGUGCUCAAAUUUUGUAAGUACCUACAUGUAAAGGGAUGUAGAUACAGUUAGUCGGGCACUCUUCUUAAUUCAGUUUUGUGCACCACUUCCUGCUUUCACCAUGCUGUGCCCACUCUGCUUUACAGUGGACAGCUGCUUCUGUGACACGCAUUAAUCUUGCAUUCAUUGAAACACUUAGUUUUGAGUGUUUUGACUCAGUUUUGUUGUAACGUGACCUGUGUUUAUGUUUUCAAUAACUUGUUUUGGGCUUCUCAUAUUUAUCUUUUUUCUUGGCUUAGCAGGUUUAGUGUAAAACAAGUUUUAGCUGACAUUUUACAUGUUAAGAUUACAUGAGUGCACACAUUUUAUAAAAGCUAUUUCAAAGUACUGUAGCCAUGUGUAACAUGCAUAUGUCUUAGCAAAUGACUACUCAGCAUGCUGCUUGGUGCUCAAUGGUAAUAGUUUGAUUUGUUUUUGACAUCAAGUAAGAUUUGAUUUUUGUUUCUGAGAUUCCAAUGUUAUUUGCGGCAAAUAUUUUCCAAAAAUCCUCCAUCUAAAGCUUCAACUGAAUUCUGAAAUGCCUGCAUUUUCUACCAGAAACAUUAUCAUUGAUACCUCCUACAAUAUUUCAUUUUGUCACCAGGUACCUGGACUGGUGAAAAGUGAAAACUGAAAUUCAUUCAUGUCACUAUUAUCCUACGACCUACCCCUAAAUGGAAUUGAUCUUGUUUCACAAAUGAGUUGUACAUUGUACAAUGUCUAUCAGCUGAUGUCUAUUGUCUAUCUCUCUUUCAGCACAGAAGAUCCUCAGUGAUAGUUAACAAAAUGGAAAAAAAAAAUUAGCUGUGUUUUUAAGAUUCCAGUGGUGGCCAUCAACUGCUCAGGAAAGCAGCCCAGAAUCACUUCACAACAGGUUUCCAAAGGAUCAUCAUUCAUCAGCACAGAAGGGUGGGAAGGAGAAGGCUGUUCAAAUUCUGAAAGGCCAGAGCUGCAAAGGAGGUCAAAGAUGCAGUGCAGUUGGCCCACUCAGUAGAGUUUCACUAGUGGUUCUGAUUAGAGUUGCAAAGUUUUCCCAAUGGGCUGCUACCGGCACCGCCCCGCCCCACAAACAUUUUCUGGGAUACCGGCAUGCUACCACGCCUCAAGCAAAAAAAACCGCCAAAUUACCGGCAUACUAAAAAAACCUGCAUUAUUGAUUCUGGCUUACCCCUACAUGAGAUGCCACAUUUUGGCAAUUUCAGUAACCGCCCCACCCAACAGCCACCCAUUGUCCAACUUAUUACAAUUCAAUAGCCUCUUAGUGUCCAAAGUUUGAAUCAUAUGCUGAUAAUUUUUUGUGCAAAAUCAAAAAUACCGGCAUGCUACCGGCAAGACAUGCCAGAUACCACGAAAAAACCUGCGGUAGUGAAAAAUUACCGGCAUGCCGGUAGUGCGGUAGGGAAAUUUUGCAACUCUAGUUCUGAUGUGGACUGAAGAUUACACGCUGGAUUGUAUUGGCCGGUCUGGAGCAGCUGUAGUUCAUCAUUCUUGCUGAUUGUGGACGAGUAAGAGCCCGCGUUGGCCCGGAUCGGCGAUCGCUGGCCAAAGCCCACAACCAGUUUGGUGAUAGGCGUUGGCUGUGAUAUCUAGUGUCGCCUAUGUGUGAAAAGGACAAGUUGAUAACAAAACCUGUUGCGCCAUGUUAUUAACCCGCGCCCGGGUGGCCCUCAGCCAACUUGGUGGGGGGAGGGGGGGGGAGGUGUAUUCGGCCACACCAGGUUAUCUGGGAAUGUAGCAAAGCUGGAAAGACGCAGUAAAAUCAAUCUAUAGAUCGCUAUUUUUCUUCAGAAUCAUACAGGUCAUUUUUGAUCAGGUCAUCGCUGAGGUCACUGGAGUAAAUGUAAAAUGAAAAUGAUGACGUAAUUGUAAAAGUAAAAGUAAAAUGAUGACGAAUUUUGGCCCCCGAUUUUGACAACUUCACAAAUUGGUUCAUAAUUCGGGAACCAAAGAAGCUACAGCGCCGCGGAAAAGCGAAUUCGAUAGCUCUUUCGAAAAUCUUUCAGGUUCUCAGAUUUGAGCUAAGGUCAACUAGGGUUAAGCCUCCAAAGGGCAAAAACUGAACAAUCGGCUUGCUUCGGAAGUCGUCUUUUCUUUAUUUUUAUUUUUUUUUAACUGAUACCAACCUUUUAUUACGUUGAUUUUACCGGCACUGCGUUUCUCUCGUCUUCUUGGCCUAACAAGGUCAGCUUAAUAAAUUUGACCUCAGGUCAAUGUCGCAGAAAAUGCCAUUUUGCAUGUCAUUGAUUCGUUACAUUGAAAUUGAGAUUAACAUCAGUAGCGGCGGAACAUCUUCAAUUAAGGGGGCAUUGCCGACUUUUGGUCUCAUUCUUUCCAUGCAACACCCAUAGGGCUAAUGUUAAAAUGCCAAAAUCAAAGGGGGCACGGUGCCCCGGUGCCCUCGGCCUGUUCCGCCGCCUAUGAUUAUGAUGCUUUUAGCGCUCUGGCCACGUUCCAUCUAAAAUUGAUGUACAAAAAUAAACUGUUGGGAGGCGUUACAUGACCUGAGAUGACCUCAGGAGCAUACGAUAGAUCCCGAUGUUUGAGUGCUUUUGUUUCAAAAGCAGAACAUUUCGAGUUCCUCAUACUGACUGAAACUGGAGACGUCGCAAAGUUGACCUGACCCUUGUCACCACCGAUAUCAAAAUUAAAGAUAUUCAAGAUGUUGGUACUGAUUCUCUCAUGCAAUAGCUCGAGUUUCAAACUUCUACUUCAUGGUGACCUGACCUGACCUUAGGUGACAUGGGGUUACUUUUUUCACAAUUGAUGCGAAUCGAUGCAUUAUACAUAAGCUAUACUAAGUUUCGUGUCGUUUUAUCUAUGCAAGCACAAAAUUGUCAGGUGUGGCCAAAAACGCCCCCACGGCCCACCCACCACCCACCUGGGGAACGUUAAAGCAGUGAUGUAUUUUUUCGGUAUAUUCCACGAUGCAUCGAUCGGUGUACUUGAUAAUGCAUUAUUUAUUGCUGCGUGUGUACGCUUUUCCUCUGUUCAGUGUGAUCUGUGAUAGGAAAACUACGGAUAUAUCUCCACGCGCAUGACUGAAAGAGCUGGCGUGAUCUAUAAUAUUGGGUGUCUGUUUUUGUUUGGCAUUUUAUAAAUAAUGAGUCAGC
Amphibalanus amphitrite is the source of this 3884-nucleotide long non-coding RNA. RefSeq lists it as uncharacterized. The record is from RefSeq and is a predicted model, not a curated record. The transcript is spliced from 2 exons. NCBI's taxonomy places the organism in Eukaryota, Metazoa, Arthropoda, Thecostraca, Balanomorpha, Balanidae.